This 193-nucleotide small RNA is filed under the name Arabidopsis thaliana (thale cress). RNAcentral's name for it is "ATSL059120". Lineage: Eukaryota; Viridiplantae; Streptophyta; Magnoliopsida; Brassicales; Brassicaceae. The record is from RNAcentral.
UACUAUAUGAUAAGAAAAAACAUAUAAAAUACAGAUUUGUAAAUCAUAAAUAUAUUAAAAACAAUUACUCUGUUAAAAAUUCAUCCACCAAAACAAUCAUCAACUAACCAAACGCUGUCACGACAGGGAAUCUAUAAAUUAUUAUUUUAUAACCGGUUUUUCAAUUAAUUUACAGUUUUAAUUUAUUUUUAAU